GUUUCCGUAGGUGAACCUGCGGAAGGAUCAUUAUUGAGCUUAUCCAUUUACUUGGAUUCAAAUGAAUCGAGCUGAAUUUUCGCUGUUCGUUUCAAAGCGUUGUAUUCUCUCAACUAACGGCUAUGAAUGGUUUCUAUAGGUGUCUGGAGCAGUUGUAUGAGCGUGACUGUGGUGAUGGACAUUUUGGUGGCUCCUUAGUCGGGUCACUAGAAUUAAAGAAGUCUGUUAUGACUCGCCGUUCUUAAAAAACUUCAAUUAACGUUUGAUCAAUUUGACUGCACCAGCCGUAGGUGUACUUAAAGAUUUAUCAAGUCUUGUCGGUGGAUCACUCGGUUCGUAGUUCGAUGAAAAACGGGGCAAAAACCGUUAUUUGGCGUGAAUUGCAGACAUAUUGAACGCUAAAAUUUUGAACGCAAAUGGCACUAUCAGGUUUAUAUCUGUUAGUAUGUUUGGUUGAGGGUCGAUUAAUUCGUAACCUGCAGUCUGCUGUGACUGUUUUUUCGAUUAGUUAUUUGGUUUUUUUAUCGAGUACCUUUUUGGAAUGUGAAUUUGAUUGUCUAAUUCGUUUCCUAAUCGAAACGAGCUAUUUUUUAUUUCUGUGCAAUGUAUUUUUGGUGUUUCGGCGUUUUUCUUGCCGACUGAUUGGUACAAACUUAACAGUUCGUAUAUUUUUCAGAAUUUUUCAGAGGCCCUUACAAUACAUCACUUGACACAACACGUAUCGUUUGUCGAGGAAUUGGGCAAGAAAGAAACUUUUCGUUUUACGACCUCAACUCAAGCAAGAUUACCCGCUGAACUUAAGCAUAUA
Molecule: ribosomal RNA, 808 nt
Filed under: Steinernema feltiae
Lineage: Eukaryota; Metazoa; Nematoda; Chromadorea; Rhabditida; Steinernematidae
Description: eukaryotic LSU rRNA
Rfam family: 5.8S ribosomal RNA (bases 310-463)
Source: RNAcentral